UACGUGAGGGGCGAACGUUGUUCGGUGUCACUGGGCUUAAAGGGCGCGUAGGUGGCUGUGUAAGUAACGUGUGAAAGCCCCCGGCUUACCCGGGGAAUUGCGCGUUAUACUGCACGGCUUGAGGGUCAGAGGGGAUGGAGGAACUCCAGGUGUAGCGGUGAAAUGCGCAGAUAUCUGGGGGAAGGCCGGCGGCGAAGGCGUCCAUCUGGCUGAUUCCUGACACUGAGGCGCGAAAGCGUGGGGAGCAAACAGG
RNAcentral lists this ribosomal RNA (253 nucleotides) under uncultured bacterium. Its description in RNAcentral is "partial 16S ribosomal RNA". It matches the Rfam family "Bacterial small subunit ribosomal RNA", at positions 524 to 776 of the family's 1533-position model. The record is from RNAcentral.